ACAACUUCAGCAACGGAUUCUCUUGGCUCUCGCAUCGAUGAAGAACGCAGCGAAUGCGAUAAGUAAUGUGAAUUGCAGAAUUCAGUGAAUCAUCGAAUCUUUGAACGCACCUUGCGCUCCUUGGUAUUCUGAGGAGCACACCUGUUUGAGUGUCGUGAA
This 159-nucleotide ribosomal RNA is filed under the name Polyporus radicatus. Its description in RNAcentral is "5.8S ribosomal RNA". It matches the Rfam family "5.8S ribosomal RNA". From Rfam's summary of the family: 5.8S ribosomal RNA (5.8S rRNA) is a component of the large subunit of the eukaryotic ribosome. Lineage: Eukaryota; Fungi; Basidiomycota; Agaricomycetes; Polyporales; Polyporaceae. The record is from RNAcentral.